GCUGCUGAGAAACAUUUGAUGUUAAAAACCCAGCUGAGCCAGACUGAUCAUGUUUCAGUGACAGUGGACAUUUGGUCAGACCGAAAGAUGAGGGGUUUCCUUGGCAUCACUGUGCACUGGAUACAAAAAGGAAUUGAGAGGCUCGAGGUGAGGAACCUGAUGAUAAUCAUCGUCUUGACGACCCAGAGCUCUGGCAUGACUUACCCUUGGAAGAUCAGGAAACAGUCGGUGCCUCUUUGGGAAAGAAACAUCGCCUGCAAUGUUUUGCUCACACACUUCAGCUGGUGGUGAGAGAUGGCCUGACAGAGACCAAAGUGGCAUCUCCUGCCCUUUCAAAGCUAUCUAAGCUCAGCUCACUACUGCACACAAGCACAACAUUGAAAGAUGUGUUUGAAGCUGAAUUUGGUGAACGGAAAAGCAUCCCUGCUUCUGUAAUCACAAGAUGGAAUUCAACAGUGAGACAAGUGAAGGCGGUUCUUCAAUGUGAACAUCUAAAACUCUGUGCUAUUCUUGAAAAAGCCGGGCACAAGAAGUUGUUAUUCACAAUACGAGAGUGGAACUUGCUGAAGGAGAUGGUGGACAUCUUGAAACCGUUUGAAGAAGCAACUGAUUUGACACAAGGUGAGAAAAUAGUCACGAUCAGUGCUGUUGUUCCAUCUGUGCUGUCCCUCAAUCACCACCUUGAGAAACUGAAGCCGCAAGUCCGUUUCCUGAAUGGUCUGGUCAGCAGUCUCCAGGCAUCUUUGAACAAAAGAUUUCUUGGAAUUUUUAUCAGUGUGCAAAUGGCGAGAGCAGAAGAAGGGAUCACUGCACCCUUUUCAGAUCCAGUGUACCUCAAAGCAGCUGCUUUGGAUCCAGCGUUUUCUCUGUUGUGGGUGGAACACCAUGUGUUGGGCAGUCAGGACAUGAAGACAGAAGUGACACAAAAAGUUAAAGAUCUGAUCCUGGAAAAUGCUGCAGAUCCUG
Molecule: long non-coding RNA, 966 nt
Organism: Gambusia affinis (western mosquitofish)
Lineage: Eukaryota; Metazoa; Chordata; Actinopteri; Cyprinodontiformes; Poeciliidae
Exons: 3
Source: RefSeq, a predicted model, not a curated record